Molecule: transfer RNA, 67 nt
Filed under: Amblyomma gervaisi
Lineage: Eukaryota; Metazoa; Arthropoda; Arachnida; Ixodida; Ixodidae
Description: tRNA-Asn
Source: RNAcentral
UUAAUAGAAGCCAAAAUAGAGGCUUUUCACUGUUAAUGAAUAAAUUAAUUUUUUAAAUUCUAUUAAG